GAUGAACGCUGGCGGCGUGCCUAAUACAUGCAAGUCGAGCGAACAGACGAGGAUCUUGCUCCUCUGACGUUAGCGGCGGGCGGGUGAGUAACACGUGUAUACCCUCCCUAUCAGACUGGGAUAUCUUCGGGAAACCGGCGCUAAUACCGGAUAAUAUCUUGCACCGCAUGGUUCAAUAGUGAAAUACGGUUUUGCUGUCACUUAUAGAUGCAUCCGGGCCGCAUUAGCUAGUUGGUAAGGUAACGGCUUAUCAAGGCAACGAUGCGUAGCCGACCGGAGAGGGGGAUCGGCGACACGGGAGCUGAGACGCGGUCCAGACUACUACGGGAGGCAGCAGAAGGGAACGUUCCGCAAUGGGCGAAAGCAUGACGGAGCAAGGCGGCGUGAGAGAUGAAGGUCUUGGGAUCGUAAAACUCUGUUAUUAGGGAAGAACAAAUGUGUAAGUAACUAUGCACGUCGUGACGGUAACUAAUCAGAAAGCAACGGCUAACUACGUG
RNAcentral lists this ribosomal RNA (497 nucleotides) under uncultured bacterium. Its description in RNAcentral is "partial 16S ribosomal RNA". It matches the Rfam family "Bacterial small subunit ribosomal RNA", at positions 28 to 507 of the family's 1533-position model. The record is from RNAcentral.